UACGUAGGGUGCGAGCGUUGUCCGGAAUUACUGGGCGUAAAGAGCUCGUAGGUGGUUUGUCGCGUUGUCCGUGAAAACUCACAACUCAAUUGUGGGCGUGCGGGCGAUACGGGCAGACUGGAGUACUGCAGGGGAGACUGGAAUUCCUGGUGUAGCGGUGGAAUGCGCAGAUAUCAGGAGGAACACCGGUGGCGAAGGCGGCAUCCUGGACCGGUAUUGACACUGAGGCGCGAAAGCCAGGGGAGCAAACGGG
Molecule: ribosomal RNA, 253 nt
Filed under: uncultured bacterium
Lineage: Bacteria
Description: partial 16S ribosomal RNA
Rfam family: Bacterial small subunit ribosomal RNA
Source: RNAcentral